This 92-nucleotide transfer RNA is filed under the name Sphingosinicella soli. Its description in RNAcentral is "tRNA-Ser". It matches the Rfam family "tRNA". Rfam says of the family: Transfer RNA (tRNA) molecules are approximately 80 nucleotides in length. The record is from RNAcentral. RNAcentral also lists the same sequence under 1 other name. Lineage: Bacteria; Pseudomonadati; Pseudomonadota; Alphaproteobacteria; Sphingomonadales; Sphingosinicellaceae.
GGAGACGUGGGUGAGCGGCUGAAACCAGCGGUUUGCUAAACCGCCGUACGGGGUAACCCGUACCGAGGGUUCGAAUCCCUCCGUCUCCGCCA